RNAcentral lists this ribosomal RNA (479 nucleotides) under uncultured bacterium. RNAcentral's name for it is "partial 16S ribosomal RNA". It matches the Rfam family "Bacterial small subunit ribosomal RNA", at positions 28 to 507 of the family's 1533-position model. The record is from RNAcentral.
GAUGAACGCUCGCGGCAGGCCUAACACAUGCAAGCCGAGCGGUAGAGUUCCGUCUGCAGCGUAAGAGCGUCGCACGGGGGCGUAUCACGUGUGCAACCUACCCUUUUCUCGGGGAGAGACUUCCGAAAGGAAGAGUAAUACCCCAUAAUAUAAUGAUUGUCAGCAAUAUUGUUUGAAAGCUCCUGUGGUGAGGGAUGGGCACGCGCAAGAUUAGCUAGUUGGUGAGGUAACGGCUCACCAAGUCAACGAUCUGUAGGGGGCCUGAGAGGGAGAUCCCCCACGCUGGUACUGAGACACGGACCCGACUCCUACGCGAGGCAGCAGACGGGAAUAUUGGGCAAUGAGUGAGGGCCUGAUCGAGCCAGCCCGCUUGAGGGAUGACGGUCCGAUGGAUAGUAACCUUCUGUUGUACAGGGCUAACGCUAGCCUCGUGGCGGUAUGUGACGGUACUGUAAUAAUAAGCACCGGCUAACUCCGUG